This 250-nucleotide ribosomal RNA is filed under the name uncultured bacterium. Its description in RNAcentral is "partial 16S ribosomal RNA". It matches the Rfam family "Bacterial small subunit ribosomal RNA", at positions 524 to 773 of the family's 1533-position model. The record is from RNAcentral.
UACAGAGGUCCCGAGCGUUGUUCGGAUUCACUGGGCGUAAAGGGUGCGUAGGUGGCGAAGUAAGUCGGAUGUGAAAGCUCGGAGCUCAACUCCGAAAUGGCAUUGGAAACUACUUGGCUAGAGGUUUGGAGGGGGGACUGGAAUGCUUGGUGUAGCAGUGAAAUGCGUAGAUAUCAAGCGGAACACCAGUGGCGAAGGCGAGUCCCUGGACAACACCUGACACUGAGGCACGAAAGCUAGGGGAGCAAAC